RNAcentral lists this ribosomal RNA (486 nucleotides) under uncultured bacterium. RNAcentral's name for it is "bacterial SSU rRNA". It matches the Rfam family "Bacterial small subunit ribosomal RNA", at positions 8 to 507 of the family's 1533-position model. The record is from RNAcentral.
AGAGUUUGAUCAUGGCUCAGAACGAACGCUGGCGGCGCGUCUUAAACAUGCAAGUCGAACGAUCUGUAGCAAUACAGGGAGUGGCGGACGGGUGAGGAACACGUAGGAAUCUACCUAGAAGAGCGGGACAACCUUGGGAAACCGGGGCUAAUACCGCAUAGUACAGUGAUGUUAAAGGGCUAGCAAUAGUCGCUUCUAGAUGAGCCUGCGGUCUAUCAGCUUGUUGGCGGGGUAAUGGCCCACCAAGGCUACGACGGAUAGCCGGUCUGAGAGGAUGAUCGGCCACACUGGCACUGAGACACGGGCCAGACUCCUACGGGAGGCAGCAGUUAAGAAUCUUGCGCAAUGGACGAAAGUCUGACGCAGCGACGCCGCGUGAAGGAUGAAGGCUUUCGGGUUGUAAACUUCGGUAGACUGGGAAGAAAAAGUAAGUUCGUUGAGGGCUUACAUUGACGGUACCAGUCUGAAGCCCCGGCUAAUUACGUG